CGUUGAAACAUUGAUUCUCGUACGAUCACCGAAGUUAAGCAAUGUCGAGCCUGGACAGGACCUUGUUGUGUGAACAUUUGGGAAUAUCAGGUGCUGUAAG
Molecule: non-coding RNA, 100 nt
Organism: Acanthosepion pharaonis
Lineage: Eukaryota; Metazoa; Mollusca; Cephalopoda; Sepiida; Sepiidae
Source: the annotation of a GenBank genome assembly